RNAcentral lists this non-coding RNA (45 nucleotides) under Schistosoma curassoni. Lineage: Eukaryota; Metazoa; Platyhelminthes; Trematoda; Strigeidida; Schistosomatidae. The record is from RNAcentral.
AUCCAGCUGAUGCAUCCGAAAUAAGACGAAACGCGCGUCCCGAAU